RNAcentral lists this ribosomal RNA (1092 nucleotides) under Triticum aestivum (bread wheat). RNAcentral's name for it is "partial small subunit ribosomal RNA". Lineage: Eukaryota; Viridiplantae; Streptophyta; Magnoliopsida; Poales; Poaceae. The record is from RNAcentral.
AUGGCUAGCCACCUCAGUGUUUUGAAGUGGAAUGUUCGGGGAUUGAAUUGCCCAAAUAGAAGAGCUAGUGUCAAUGAAACCGUCGCUGCCUCGGCCUGCCACUUAGCGUGCUUCCAAGAAACAAAAAUGGAGCUUGUUGACCCUAUGAUCGCCUCCUUCUUGGGCGGCUACAGGCUCAAGGGUUUUGCGCAGCGUCCUGCUAUAGGCACUCGUGGGGGAAUCCUUCUGCUUUGGGAUGAAAACCACAUGAAACUUGAAAACGUGCACUUUGGAACCUACACCCUCUCGGCAAAGAUCACCAUCAUUAGCUCCGGUACCUGUUUCAACUUCACCACGGUCUAUGGACCGACCAGAAAUAACCUGAAGGACGAUUUCUUUAACGAGUUGAUGGCUGAGAAACCACCUCAAGGUGAUGGAUGGUUGGUCACGGGCGACUUCAACCAAAUCUACCGCGCUCGUGACAAGAAUCGUUCCAAUGCAAACCGUAGCCGCAUCGCUCGCUUCCGAGACGCCCUCAAUUUCUGUGAGCUCAAAGAAAUUCACCUCCAAAACAGGAAGUUCACCUGGAGCAAUGAACAAAGCAACCCAACCAUGUCCAAGCUUGAUGGCUUCUUCUGUAAUGAGGAUUGGGACAUUAUUUUUGACAAGCAUAUCCUCCAGGCUCUGUCAUCUUCCCUCUCGGAUCAUUGCCCACUUCUACUAGCUAACGACGAUGGCCCCCGACGACCGAAGACUUUCCGCUUUGAGAACUUCUGGACAAACAUGCAUGGAUUCCGCCAAACCGUCCAUGAUGCUUGGAAUGAGCCCUCCAUGCACUCUGAGGCGUACCAAAGGCUCUUCCACAAACUUAAGCUUACUAGUCAGAGGCUUAGGUCCUGGAGUAAGACCCUCUUCUCUCAAGCCAAAGUACAACUGCACAUGGCUCUGGAGAUCAUCUUGCGUCUUGAUGAGGCCCAAGACCAUAGAGAUCUUAGCGCGGAGGAGGUGGACCUUCAUAAAAGACUUAAGAAAAGAGUGAUCGGGCUGGCUGUAAUGGAAAGGGCUAGGAAAAAGCAAAACUCACGGAUAACAAAUAUCAAAGAGGGGGAUGCA